RNAcentral lists this ribosomal RNA (449 nucleotides) under uncultured bacterium. RNAcentral describes it as "bacterial SSU rRNA". It matches the Rfam family "Bacterial small subunit ribosomal RNA", at positions 29 to 524 of the family's 1533-position model. The record is from RNAcentral.
AACGAACGCUGGCGGCAUGCCUAACACAUGCAAGUCGAACGAAGCCUUCGGGCUUAGUGGCGCACGGGUGCGUAACGCGUGGGAAUCUGCCCUUGGGUUCGGAAUAACAGUUAGAAAUGACUGCUAAUACCGGAUGAUGUCUUCGGACCAAAGAUUUAUCGCCCAAGGAUGAGCCCGUGUAGGAUUAGGUAGUUGGUGGGGUAAUGGCCCACCAAGCCGACGAUCCUUAGCUGGUCUGAGAGGAUGAUCAGCCACACUGGGACUGAGACACGGCCCAGACUCCUACGGGAGGCAGCAGUGGGGAAUAUUGGACAAUGGGCGAAAGCCUGAUCCAGCAAUGCCGCGUGAGUGAUGAAGGCCUUAGGGUUGUAAAGCUCUUUACCAGGGAUGAUAAUGACAGUACCUGGAGAAUAAGCUCCGGCUAACUCCGUGCCAGCAGCCGCGGUAAU